Molecule: ribosomal RNA, 492 nt
Filed under: uncultured bacterium
Lineage: Bacteria
Description: partial 16S ribosomal RNA
Rfam family: Bacterial small subunit ribosomal RNA
Source: RNAcentral
AGUGAACGCUGGCGGUAGGCCUAACACAUGCAAGUCGAACGGCAGCACAGUAAGAGCUUGCUCUUACGGGUGGCGAGUGGCGGACGGGUGAGGAAUACAUAGGAAUCUACUUUUUCGUGGGGGAUAACGUAGGGAAACUUACGCUAAUACCUCAUACGACCUACGGGUGAAAGCAGUGGAUCUUCGGACCUUGCGCGAUUGAAUGAGCCGAUGUCGGAUUAGCUAGUUGGCGUGGUAAAGGCCCACCAAGGCGACGAUGCGUAGCUGGUCUGAGAGGAUGAUCAGCCACACUGGAACUGAGACACGGUCCAGACUCCUACGGGAGGCAGCAGUGGGGAAUAUUGGACAAUGGGCGCAAGCCUGAUCCGGCCAUACCGCGUGGGUGAAGAAGGCCUUCGGGUUGUAAAGCCCUUUUGUUGGGAAAGAAAAGCAGCAGGUUAAUACCCCGCUGUUCUGACGGUACCCAAAGAAUAAGCACCGGCUAACUUCGUG